GGACUUACUUGCCCAAGGGCCACAGCUGC
Molecule: non-coding RNA, 29 nt
Filed under: Homo sapiens (human)
Lineage: Eukaryota; Metazoa; Chordata; Mammalia; Primates; Hominidae
Source: RNAcentral